GCUAAGUUGACUCAGUUGGUUAGUGUGUGGUGCUGAUAACGUCAAGGCUGCAGGCUCAAUCCCCGUAUGGGACAGCU
Podarcis lilfordi (Lilford's wall lizard) is the source of this 77-nucleotide non-coding RNA. NCBI's taxonomy places the organism in Eukaryota, Metazoa, Chordata, Lepidosauria, Squamata, Lacertidae. The record is from the annotation of a GenBank genome assembly.